UUUAUAGACGCAAAUCUGCUAACUAAUACUAUCAAUUAAUUUAACUAACUGAUUCUCUCUCUAAAUCUCUCUCUAAAAUUUCUCUCUAUGGAGAUACACACUGCCAGGUAUGCCAAAAUGCCCAUGGAGCCGCCAACGAACCUUUUCCAACCACCAAAUCAAUCCCAAUUGGAGUGCAAUGAGAUUCCGAAAAAAAUCCAUCUUGAAUCGUCCACUAAUUCAUCCCACAAAUCUUUGAAAUUACAAAAGAGAGUAGCGAUCCUUGUAGCAAUUUCACAAGAAGAUUUGGAAUGGGUUCGAAAAAUUAUUUCUCUUCAAAAAUCUGGAAUGAUUUAUAUUUCUACACUGAUGGAGAAUGAUCACUGAUCACAAGAACUACUUGCCAUAAAAAAAUCACCUCAAGCCACUGUCCUAAUCGAGAAUCAGAUCCUGUGAUUCUUGAAGGAAUCACGAUUGAAUCCCCUCACUUGAGCCAUGAAAUUCAAACCAUUUCUGGCGAGAUUCAUCAAGAAACAACCACUGGGAUCAUUCCUUGCAUCAUAGUGCUCCUGUCAAGAUAUAUUCAGGAAAGUUUAAUGAUAAUAGUGACUGACGACAAGUCUACCGAAGAUGGAGAUAAGAUUCUGGUGAGUUAUUCUGACCAAAACCAAUGCCAAAGGAGCAAGGGAAUAAAAUACAACUCCAUAAGACAAAAGCCCCUUCUUGUUUGAGUCAGAACACGAAUUUUGGAAUUAGGGUUCCAACAAAACAAAAUUCCUAAAAUUUAGGUGAGCAAUUCUGGAUAAUUAAAUCCAAAAUUCUCAAAUUAAGAUCAUUCAACAGGUUGAAAGGAAGGAGUGAAACCAAAAAGCCCCAAUAGACGAGGCUCGAAGAUCAUUGAAUUUCUCUUUUAGGAUAAACAAUCCUGCUCAAGUGUCUGGAAACGGAUUUUUAAUACAUAAUUUUGCAAGCUCUCAAUUCCUUGUGGAUCCUGAUGCUAGGAUUGAUCAUAUCAACACAGAGGAUCAUAUUUUUGAGAAACAAAAUGAAAACUUUAUAUUAUGUAGUCUUACUUUGGCCUUAACAGAUGGGACUAAGGAAAGAAAUGAUUACAAUACUCAACAUGAAAUUGCAAAGAAGGUGAUCAAUAAGCAAUCCAAGUCUAAUGAGUAGCAGGUUCAAGUUGGUAGCUCUAGCACCAAAGACAGGUAAUAGGAACAUCAAAAGGAAAGUAACAGUCAGCAACAAGAACAUCAAAAGGAUUAGCGACACACACAAAAAAGAAGAAAUUUUAGAUGUCACAAUCAAAAUUCUCAAAGGAAUGAAGAGCUCAACAAAAUAAAGUCUACAGAAGAACAAUGAUAAUUAUCUGCAAAAUCAAGGUGAAAUGCAGAUAGAUAAGACCAAUAAAAAUAUUUCUAUUUAUAAUGCUUUUGUUGAUCUUGUUAAUCAGGAUCAACAUACUAUCUCAAUGGUGAAGUUGUUAAUAUGGGGACUAAUGGGAUGGUCCACAAAGCUACAAAACAACAGAGCAAAGAGGAAAUGAACCUUCAAAAAACCUCAGGGUUUACCAUAUAUAUUAAUAGUAGAGUCAGACAGUUGCAAAGAGAGGAGCACGAUAAUACUAGUGGAGUAGUGCUGACUGCGGCUCCAGGUGAGUAAUUAAUUUCUUUAGUUAAUAGAUUUUCUAUAAUCUAAUGGUACAAGUAUGGUUGGUUAUGGUUUAAUAAGAUUGUCCCUAUUAGUUUUAUGAGAAUGUGGGUAGGCUGCAACAAAUCAUGGAAAAGUAAAUAAGUAGAUAUUUUUAAUUAAGUAACAAUAAUGUUAAAGGAAUUUAUGAACAGUAGUUAGUAAGGUUGCAGGUUGUAGGUUAGGCAAAGUCUUUAUUGAAAUUGUAUUUGGGUAGUGUUUAGCCUUACACAGUGAAGUAGUACAUGCAUUAGUACGUAGCCUGUAAACCAAGAAGUUAUUGUUUCAACAAUGUAACGUUUAUAAUAUUAGUUAUUUUGCCAAUCUAAUUAGGCGUAUUACUGAAAAAAGAAAAAUUAUGCUUGACAAAGUAAUAAUGAAUUAAUUAUUAGAUUAUAAUGAAGGAUGGGUGAAGUUUAGUGUUAUAUAUAUAAACUCCAAGGCAAACACCCAUAAGGAAAUACUUCACAUAUUCUCUAAUCCACUAUCAACAUAACUCCCACGCGCUACCCCAAGAACAUAUACACACAAAUUUCCACUAAUCAUCACAUUUAUCAAAGACUUGGCCCCAGAUCCUAGUUCACACUUAUGGCCUUGUCCAAAACAAGCAUACUAUUAUCUUUCAUUGACAAGAAACAUUUACUCAUCACCACCAUCUUCACAUAUGGAGGAGUCACUAAUAGGUUAGAACAUAAGACCUUGAAAUAUGAGAGGAUAUUAUAUAAGACUUGACACUUAACUGAGGUCGAAGGAAUAGCAAAUCAAUAUCAGGGAUUCAUCAAAGUGAUCUGAAUUAGGGCAUACAUGACUAUAAGCAUAAUCUCGUUAAUCAUUAAGAGUAUAGCAUGAAUUAUGGGAACUGAUCACACUAUAAAGAGUGAGUACAUGAGUCAUGAGCUGCAUGACCUCAAUUUGAAGUUCAUAACAUAUGGAAUGUGAUUCCGACUAUUGAAUGAAAUGGAACUCCUCAUUUUAGAACUGGAAGAGAACGUUAUUCUCUCUCAUAUACAUGGACAUGAACUAUGAUCAUGGAACUAAAACAUAAUCCAUGAGUAAGUAUUAGGAUAACUAAAAAAUACGAAGAUAAGAAUGGGUUGAGCCUUACGCUCACUUCCUGAUGUCCUAUAUCAUACUAACAUCUCUACUAGAAUUUGAGAGCCUGUCUGGAUCACUUGUUUUAUGAUCUCCCCCUUAGCUUUAAGAUAUUAUCUUAAGUUUGAGAGAUCCCUUACUAGACUCUAAACUGAACUACACUCACUGCACUCUGGGGUAUGGAAUACGAUAAUAUACACAAUUAAUAUAACUUAACCCCAAUGGAUACACCUAGAAGUGGAAAACCCACUGUUAAUACCACCUUCUGAGACACGCUCUAUCAUUCUAUAGACCUAAUAGUCAUCACAUAAAACUGGAACACUUACUUUGGAUCUUCAUAAGUAUCUCUAUAGUUGGAGUGUACACCCUAUAGCAUUUUAUCUCUUAUUUCUUUUAGUUCAACCUUAAAAAAUUUAAACUUAGAUUAUAACAUUUAACAUGGAUAUCACCAAGCCUCUGAUGAACUAUACUACUUCCGUCAUAGCAAAUCAAUAUCGCGACUCCGACUUAUAUCUCUCCAUCAUGAAAAUUCAAGAUCAUAUCAAAAGGCCCAACACUAUCAAUUAGAACUCCUUAACUUGGCUAUUUAGAACACCAUAUACCAUCUAGCAACUCAACGGUACUACUAGCCACACACAACAUGUA
Molecule: long non-coding RNA, 3405 nt
Organism: Capsicum annuum
Lineage: Eukaryota; Viridiplantae; Streptophyta; Magnoliopsida; Solanales; Solanaceae
Exons: 3
Source: RefSeq, a predicted model, not a curated record